This is a non-coding RNA of Cicer arietinum (chickpea), 1296 nucleotides long. The record is from RefSeq and is a predicted model, not a curated record. NCBI's taxonomy places the organism in Eukaryota, Viridiplantae, Streptophyta, Magnoliopsida, Fabales, Fabaceae.
UUUAUUGAGUUUUAAGGUAUUUCCUGUAGUGUCAUAAGUGGAAUAUACAACCUCUGUUAUUGCAUUACUGGAAAAAGUAUAUGAAAAAGUCAAAGACAUAGUGUUUAACAAAAAGACUUUGAAAUACAAUAUGCAUGUUGUUUAUUUGAGUUUAAAGGUAUUUUAGGACAACACGUCAUUUGUGUUCUUAAGCUCACGGGUAAAAGAGUCAUUUCCUUCUUAUUAUAUUUUGUCAAGAUGGAGGAAAGAUAUUAAGAGGAGACAUACACUUACUAAAUGUGGUUUUGAUCAUGCCGAAAAUGUAGAAUUGCGUGUUGGUAAAGCUUGUGAUGCCUUUUAUGAAGUUGCUUAUGUGGAGAUACAUAUUGAAGAUGAUUUAUUGAAAGUUAUGAAUUAGAUCAAGGAUUUGAAAAUUGAUUUAACUUGUAAAGAAAGUUCUCCAGUGACUAUAGAAGAAGAAAGAUUAGUUCAAAAUCUAGUGAAUAAAAUUCUUGAUCCUACAGUAGUUCGAAGUAAAGGGCGUCCUCCCUAAAAAAGAAAGGCUUCUAAAGUUAAUCAACUUGUGAAGAAGAAACUUGCGGGAAAUAAAAGUAAAGAAAGCAACAAAAAGAGUAAAAGUUAUCAAAGUCAAGGACAUGUGAUCUUAAAAAUAUUCAAGUUUAUUUUCUCUAGUUAAAUGUAAUAGCAUGUAUGUCUAAUGCUAUAUUUUUUAUAACAGAGGUUGUAUAUACCUAGAUUUCAAGAAACUGAAAGUGCAGGGUUUUCUAUUUCUCAAACCAUUGAUGAGAUUAGCAUACAAGAGAGCAAUCAAGUAAAUUUAGAUCUCUUCAAUCCAAAUCAAAAACAUCUUACUGAAGUAUAUCAGAUGCAAAUAGAUUCUAGCACUCUUUACUUUUAUUUAUAUUAUGGAAAUAGUCGAUUCAUUAUACUUUUUUUUGUAGGUUUCAUAUUAUUGUCAAAGCAUAAACCAUAAUAUUACCUAUUAAGAGCUUUUAGAGGCACAACACCAUAAGAAUUAUCAACUAUAAUCAUGAGGACAUGAAUGAACCACUGCUUUGAGAGAUGAAAGUGGAAAUGAUUCACUGUUUGUCAAUAGAAGAUGAUUGUUGCAGCAACUAUUUAACUCUUCAUCCCUCCUCUUCUUCUCAUCUCUUCCACCUACGCUGUAUCAAUCCCAUUUUUAUCAUCAUGCACAUACCUUCAAACACACAAUUGUUGUAACCUAUUUGGCACAAAAAGAAAUAACUUGUAUCAAUUUCCAAAAUUUUCUAGAUAAAUAAAAUAAUCUGGACAAUA